UUGAGCCUGACUUACACCCAAUAGUUUGCACCUCUCACCCCCCCCCCACCGUUGCCACUCCCCCUGCUCUUCCCACUGGUAACCACUAGUGUGUGUGUGUUAUUAACAGUUCCCAGAAGAGGGUUCUAUAAAUACUCUUUGGUAAAGACAGGAUCACAAUAUACCCUAGUUUAAUUAAUAAUAUUAGAUUAAAUAUUUU
Non-coding RNA from Vicugna pacos (alpaca), 199 nucleotides. The record is from RefSeq and is a predicted model, not a curated record. NCBI's taxonomy places the organism in Eukaryota, Metazoa, Chordata, Mammalia, Artiodactyla, Camelidae.